AGGCUGCCCGUGGCCCGUCCGCAUUUUUCAAGACGCACAAUACACGGUCGGCCUCU
This 56-nucleotide non-coding RNA is filed under the name Sus scrofa (pig). The record is from RNAcentral. Lineage: Eukaryota; Metazoa; Chordata; Mammalia; Artiodactyla; Suidae.